CUUUCCCAGCUGUCACUGUGCUGCUUAUCUGACUCGUGCUCAUGUUUUCUCUGCUCUCAGGGCAGCCAGGGCUGGGUGACUGUUCUCUCCUUCCCCUCAGCCCUUCUCCAGGAGUUUGGCUGGCUGUGUGUGUCUGUGCAGGUGCCUGGCACUGGGAGAUACCUGCUGUGUGCUGCUUGUGUCUGCAGGGGAAGAGCAACCAGCAAAUGCCCAGUUCUGGGAGGCAGCAGUGACUCCUCGGGGAGCUGCUUCCUGACAGGAUGUAUUUUCUUGGGAUGACUCAGGAGCUGCUUCACGAGAUGCAGGAAAAACUCCCCAUCUUUGUCCUGAUUGCAGCUGGACUGUUGGAUUUGUCUGGAGCCUCCAGGAGUGAACGUGAUGCCAGUGACAUGUUGGCCCUGGGCUUCCCUGGAUGGGCCCAGCCCAGAGCUGAGAGCAGCCCAGUGCCCAGCGAGGGCUUCCCUGGGACAGAGGACGACUUGGAUGGGGUGACCUUCCACUUCCAGAGCCCAGCAGCUGAUCCCACCAAGGCAACCACGGCUGACUCCAGCCCUGCUGCCACAGGGAGAGCUGCAAACAGGACAGCUCUGCUGCCUGGGGGCUUGGCUGGGACCCUGGAGGUGUCUGAGCCCCUGCACACACAAACAGCAGCUUCAAAACCCCAGGCUGGACACGCCUGGCCUGGCCAGCUCUCGGGGAGCUUCAGCAUCCCUGUCUCCACACAAGGAUCCCAGGCUACCACAGCUCUGGAGCAGCCAGGCAGG
Manacus vitellinus (golden-collared manakin) is the source of this 764-nucleotide long non-coding RNA. RefSeq lists it as uncharacterized. The record is from RefSeq and is a predicted model, not a curated record. NCBI's taxonomy places the organism in Eukaryota, Metazoa, Chordata, Aves, Passeriformes, Pipridae. The transcript has 3 exons.